CCUUCGCAGAACAUCUUAAAAAAAAAAUCAUAAUUCGGUUUAUGGGCCGUUGAGGGGCGAAAAUGUAUGUGCCUUCCACUUAGCAAAAACUUUCGGAGCUUGUGGUUCGGUCUCCUCUCUACCUUGGCGUUCGCGCCCGGCGGCCUGGCGGCUGCGGCGCCACCGCGACGACCAUCCCGUGGAACGUGACGCAGUACGCAUCCGGUAGCUGCUGCGGCAGCGCGCGGCGGAAAAGUAAAUGAUGACAGCUAUCAAAAGGGAAGAAGUUGAGACAACUGCAGAAAGCAGGAAUGGAGCCAUAAACUUAUCAGUGGUGAGUGGAUCAGGAACAGAUGCAGGGACAAUGUUGCUGUAUUUGUCUUGAGAUACACGCCAUUUAUUCCUAAUUUGAAUAAUAGUAUCCCCCUCUACUAUGUCAAGAAUUGCCUUUGAGAUGUCUCCAAGUAGAGGAGAUCCUUUAGGUAAUGCCUGCAUAAGAAUUAUAGAUGUUUUGUUAGCUGAUAUGCUUGAGAUCCAGAGAUUUUCCUAUUAUAGGCUGCUGUAGAGAAUUUAAUCCCCUGAUGCAAUGCAAGGUAAAGUUGAAUCAA
Molecule: long non-coding RNA, 587 nt
Organism: Setaria italica (foxtail millet)
Lineage: Eukaryota; Viridiplantae; Streptophyta; Magnoliopsida; Poales; Poaceae
Exons: 2
Source: RefSeq, a predicted model, not a curated record